GACGAACGCUGGCGGCGUGCUUAACACAUGCAAGUCGAACGGAAAGGCCCUGCUUUUGUGGGGUGCUCGAGUGGCGAACGGGUGAGUAACACGUGAGUAACCUGCCCUUGACUUUGGGAUAACUUCAGGAAACUGGGGCUAAUACCGGAUAGGAGCUCCUGCUGCAUGGUGGGGGUUGGAAAGUUUCGGCGGUUGGGGAUGGACUCGCGGCUUAUCAGCUUGUUGGUGGGGUAGUGGCUUACCAAGGCUUUGACGGGUAGCCGGCCUGAGAGGGUGACCGGCCACAUUGGGACUGAGAUACGGCCCAGACUCCUACGGGAGGCAGCAGUGGGGAAUAUUGCACAAUGGGCGGAAGCCUGAUGCAGCAACGCCGCGUGCGGGAUGACGGCCUUCGGGUUGUAAACCGCUUUCGCCUGUGACGAAGCGUGAGUGACGGUAAUGGGUAAAGAAGCACCGGCUAACUACGUGCCAGCAGCCGCGGUGAUACGUAGGGUGCGAGCGUUGUCCGGAUUUAUUGGGCGUAAAGGGCUCGUAGGUGGUUGAUCGCGUCGGAAGUGUAAUCUUGGGGCUUAACCCUGAGCGUGCUUUCGAUACGGGUUGACUUGAGGAAGGUAGGGGAGAAUGGAGUUCCUGGUGGAGCGGUGGAAUGCGCAGAUAUCAGGAGGAACACCAGUGGCGAAGGCGGUUCUCUGGGCCUUUCCUGACGCUGAGGAGCGAAAGCGUGGGGAGCGAACAGGCUUAGAUACCCUGGUAGUCCACGCUGUAAACGGUGGGUACUAGGUGUGGGGUCCAUUCCACGGGUUCCGUGCCGUAGCUAACGCUUUAAGUACCCCGCCUGGGGAGUACGGCCGCAAGGCUAAAACUCAAAGGAAUUGACGGGGCCCCGCACAAGCGGCGGAGCAUGCGGAUUAAUUCGAUGCAACGCGUAGAACCUUACCUGGGUUUGACAUGGAUCGGGAGCGCUCAGAGAUGGGUGUGCCUCUUUUGGGGUCGGUUCACAGGUGGUGCAUGGCUGUCGUCAGCUCGUGUCGUGAGAUGUUGGGUUAAGUCCCGCAACGAGCGCAACCCUUGUUCACUGUUGCCAGCACGUUAUGGUGGGGACUCAGUGGAGACCGCCGGGGUCAACACGGAGGAAGGUGGGGAUGACGUCAAGUCAUCAUGCCCCUUAUGUCCAGGGCUUCACGCAUGCUACAAUGGCUGGUACAGAGAGUGGCGAGCCUGUGAGGGUGAGCGAAUCUCGGAAAGCCGGUCUCAGUUCGGAUUGGGGUCUGCAACUCGACCUCAUGAAGUCGGAGUCGCUAGUAAUCGCAGAUCAGCAACGCUGCGGUGAAUACGUUCCCGGG
This 1343-nucleotide ribosomal RNA is filed under the name uncultured bacterium. Its description in RNAcentral is "16S ribosomal RNA". It matches the Rfam family "Bacterial small subunit ribosomal RNA", at positions 28 to 1378 of the family's 1533-position model. The record is from RNAcentral.